GUCUAUGGCCAUGCCACCCUGAAUGUGCCUGAUCUCGUCUGAUCUCAGAAGCUAAGCAGGGUUAGGUCUAGUUACUUGGAUGGGAGACAAUCUAGGAAUACCUGAUGCUGUAGGCA
This 116-nucleotide ribosomal RNA is filed under the name Pteropus alecto (black flying fox). The record is from RNAcentral. Lineage: Eukaryota; Metazoa; Chordata; Mammalia; Chiroptera; Pteropodidae.